Molecule: small RNA, 125 nt
Filed under: Marmota monax (woodchuck)
Lineage: Eukaryota; Metazoa; Chordata; Mammalia; Rodentia; Sciuridae
Source: RNAcentral
GCCAGGCGCCGUGAUGCAUGCCUGUAAUCCCAGCAGCUUGGGAGGCUGAGACAGGAGAAUCUUCAGUUCAAAGCCAGCCUCAGCAACUGUAAAGAGCCAAGCAACUCAGUGAGACUCUGUCUCUA